Molecule: long non-coding RNA, 2931 nt
Filed under: Homo sapiens (human)
Lineage: Eukaryota; Metazoa; Chordata; Mammalia; Primates; Hominidae
Description: HSALNT0215495
Source: RNAcentral
CCACCACUGGCCCCUCUUAAUUCUCAUGUCCUUUUCACAUUUCAAAACCAAUUAUGCCUUCCCAACAGUCUCCCAAAGCCUUAACUCAUUCCAACAUUAACUCAAAAGUCCAAGUCCAAAGUCUCAUCUGAGGCAAAGCAUGUCUCUUCCUCCUAUGAUCUUGUAAAAUAAAAAGCAAGUUAGUUGCUUCCAAGAUAAAAUGUGGGUGCUGGCAUUGAGUAAAUGCUCCAAAAUUGGCCAAAACAAAGGGGCCAUAGGCCCCAUGCAAGUACAAAACUCAUCGGGGCACUCAUUAAAUCUUAAUGCUCCAGAACAAUCUCAUUUGACUCCAUGUCUCAAAUCCAGGGUAUGCUGAUGCAAGGGAUGGUCUCCCCGGGCCUUGGGCAGCUCUGCUCCUGUGCCUCUGCAGGAUACAGCCCCUGCAGCUGCUUUCAUGGGCUGGCAUUGAGCCCCUGCACUUCUCCUGAUGCACAGUGCAAGUUGUUGAUGGAGCUACCAUUCUGGGGGGUAUGGAGGCCCAACACUGUGUGGAAGCUGCCAAGGCUUGGGGCAUGCACCCUCUGAAGCAAUGACCUGAGCUGUAUCUUGGCCUCUUUUAGCUACAGCUGGAGCUGGAGCAGCUGAGACCCAUGGUACUAUGUCCUGAGGCUGUAGAGAGCAGUGGGGCCCUGGGCCUGGCCCAGGAAUCCAUUUUUCCCUCUUAGGCCUCUGAGGGGCUGUGAUGGGAGGGGCUGUGAUGGGAGGGGCUGCUAUGAAGAUCUCUGAAAUGCCCUGGAGACAUUUGUCCCAUUGUCUUGGUUAUUAAUGUUGGAAUCCUCAUUAGUUAUGCACAUUUCUGCAGCUGGCUUGAAUUUUUCCCGCAGAAAAUGGGUUUUUCUUUUCCACCACAUGGUCAGCUGCAAAUUUUCCAAGUUUUUCAUUCUGCUUCACUUUUAAGCAUAAGGUCCAAUUUCAAACCAUCUCUUUGUGAAUGCAUAUGACUGUACACUUUCAGAACAAACCAGGUCACCUCUUGAAUGCUUUGCCACUUAGAAAUUUCUUCAUCCAGAUACCGUAACUCAUCUCUCUCAAAUUCAAAGUUUCACAGAUCUCUAGGGCAGGGGCAAAAUGCCACCAGUCUCUUGGCUAAAGCAUAGUAAGAAUGAUCUUUCCUCCAGUUCCCAGUAAGUUUCUCAUCUCCAUCUGAGACCACCGCAGCCUGGAUUUCGUUGUUCAUCUCAUACCAGCAUUUUGGUCAAAACCAUUCAAGUCUCUAGGAAAUUCUAAACUUUCUCACAUCUUCCUGUCUUCUUCUGAGCCAUCCAAACUGUUCCAACCUCUGCCUGUUAUCCAGUUCCAAAGCUGCUUCCACAUUUUCAGGUUAUUUUUAUAGCAGUGUCCCACUCCCAGUACCAAUUUCCUGUAUUAGUUCAUUUUCACACUGCUGUAAAGAACUACCUGAGACUGGACAAUUUAUAAAGGAGAAAGGUUUAAUUGACACAGUUCUGCAUGGCUGUGAAGGCUUCAGGAAACUUACAAUCAUGGCAGAAGGUGAAGGAGAAGCAAGUACCUUCUUCACAAGGCAGCAGGAGGGAGAGACAGUGAGGGAGGAACUGUCAAACACUUUCAAACCAUCAGAUCUCAUGAGAACUCAUUCACUAUCAUAAGAAUAGCAUGAGGGAAGCUAUCCCCAUGAUCCAAUCACCUCCCACCAGGUCCCUUUUGGGUGGGGACACAGAGCCAAACCAUAUCCAUAAGAAAAAAAUUAUUAAUUGAACUGCAUAAAUAUUUAGUAAGUGAAUUAAAUCUAUGCUUACAUAUUUAUGAAUUUAUUAUUAUAGAUAUUUGCUCCAAAAAUCAAUACCAAGUCUAGAAUUUGGUAAAAAAACUAAAAGACCCAAGCUCAGGGAGACCAGUGGCCUGCGGGCUAUGGAAUGACUUUUAUUGAAAUGCCUGAUUCUAUAGAUUAACGUUUGUGUGGCUCAGGUCAAGAUGCUUCAUCUCUCAGUGUCAAUAUGUUCUUUAAGAUGGGAAAUAUACUAAUGCCACCCAUUAAACAGGCCUAAUGUGGAGGCCUUUUUGACUACGUGGACUUCCUGAUCCUGUGCCAGGCAGCUGGUAAGGGGGCUAUCUGGCCUCUGUGUGCUCAUGUCCUCUUGGCGUUUCUGAAGCACUCAAAGGUUAGUGCAUCCAGGUUACCCUCAACCACAAGGCCCAAGGUUGAGAGAAAUACCCCAGUUUCCUCUGUCCUCAGUAAGACAAUUUCAAGUCAGGUCCACCCAGGUUUCUCACAGCCUCAUCAGUAGGAAGAGUUGAGCUUUUGUUGCCCACAGUGAUAAUUCCCUCAUUAACAUGCUCUUUUUUGGCGCUUUUCCUUCCCUUGGCUCAUGUCCACAUGCCCACACAUUGUUUCCUGGGUCACAUCCUAAAUAAAUACAUUUACAAAUCCAUGCCUCAAAGUCUGCUUUGCUAGGAACCAAACUUUGACAGCUAACCCACCUCAACUGAGUGCACAUCCUGGCGCAGGCUCGAAGCCCAGAGAAGGCUGGUUGCCACUGGAACACCCAGGAGCCCCUCACACUGUGCUUCGCCUACGUUGUGUGACUUCCGAGCCAUAGCAUGUGAGAACCUCCCAAGAAUUUAUCUGGAAGCUUUCUCAAUGAGUAAAAGUAAACAGAUUUGGGGUGGGGUCUUGCAUUUCCCAAAGCACACAGACAGAAUUCAUUGUAUUAAUAUAGCUUUUUAUUUUGAAUUUACUCAUACAGAGUGAAGAAAUACCUUAGAAAGAGAUAUUUCUGGUAAAAGGGGUGUGCUCUGACCUACAGGCUAAAGUGCCUCAACUGGAUUCACUUGUGUACAAAUUAGAGUAACUUGUCUUAACUGUAUUGAGGCGGGAAGAAGAAAAAGAAGACAAGAGGAAGGAAGGAAAUAAGAAAAAGCUGAAUUUAAAUC